RNAcentral lists this ribosomal RNA (433 nucleotides) under uncultured bacterium. RNAcentral describes it as "partial 16S ribosomal RNA". It matches the Rfam family "Bacterial small subunit ribosomal RNA", at positions 29 to 507 of the family's 1533-position model. The record is from RNAcentral.
AACGAACGCUGGCGGCAGGCCUAGCACAUGCAAGUCGAGCGAGGACUUCGGUUCUAGCGGCGGACGGGUGAGUAACGCGUGGGAAUGUGCCCUUCUCUACGGAAUAGCCCUGGGAAACUGGGAGUAAUACCGUAUACGCCCUAUUGGGGAAAGAUUUAUCGGAGAAGGAUCAGCCCGCGUUGGAUUAGGUAGUUGGUGGGGUAAUGGCCUACCAAGCCGACGAUCCAUAGCUGGUUUGAGAGGAUGAUCAGCCACACUGGGACUGAGACACGGCCCAGACUCCUACGGGAGGCAGCAGUGGGGAAUCUUAGACAAUGGGGGCAACCCUGAUCUAGCCAUGCCGCGUGAGUGAUGAAGGCCUUAGGGUUGUAAAGCUCUUUCAGCUGGGAAGAUAAUGACGGUACCAGCAGAAGAAGCCCCGGCUAACUCCGUG